CCCGAUGAACCUGAAUAUCCAUUAUGGAAAAUUCAUCAUUAGAAUUGUAAUAUUUAAACAAUAUUAUAAUAAUAGUGUGCAUUUUUUCCAUAUAAGGACAUUGUAAUCUAUUAGCAUAUUAAUUUAUCAUAAAAUUAUAUCAUAUUGUUUAUUUCAAUUAUAAUGCUUGCGUUUUAACAUGAAAUAAAAGAUAUAAAUUUGAUAAAGUGCUGAUAGAUUUAUAUGAUUACAGUGCGUUAAUUUUUCGGAAUUAUAUAAUGGCAUAAUUAUCAUUGAUUUUUAUGUUUAUUAUAUGCACUUGUAUGAUUAACAAUGCGAAAGAUUCAGGAUACCUUCGGG
RNAcentral lists this ribosomal RNA (339 nucleotides) under Drosophila mayaguana. RNAcentral describes it as "eukaryotic LSU rRNA". Lineage: Eukaryota; Metazoa; Arthropoda; Insecta; Diptera; Drosophilidae. The record is from RNAcentral.